GCAUAUCAAUAAGCGGAGGAAAAGAAACCAACAGGGAUUGCCCUAGUAACGGCGAGUGAAGCGGCAACAGCUCAAAUUUGAAAUCUGGCUUCGGCCCGAGUUGUAAUUUGCAGAGGAAGCUUUAGGCGCGGCACCAUCUGAGUCCCCUGGAACGGGGCGCCACAGAGGGUGAGAGCCCCGUAUAGAUGGACGCCUAGCCUGUGUAAAGCUCCUUCGACGAGUCGAGUAGUUUGGGAAUGCUGCUCAAAAUGGGAGGUAAAUUUCUUCUAAAGCUAAAUAUUGGCCAGAGACCGAUAGCGCACAAGUAGAGUGAUCGAAAGAUGAAAAGCACUUUGAAAAGAGGGUUAAAUAGCACGUGAAAUUGUUGAAAGGGAAGCGCUUGUGACCAGACUUGCGCCGGGCGGAUCAUCCGGUGUUCUCACCGGUGCACUCCGCCCGGCUCAGGCCAGCAUCGGUUCUCGCGGGGGGAUAAAGGCCCUGGGAACGUAGCUCCUCCGGGAGUGUUAUAGCCCGGGGCGUAAUGCCCUCGCGGGGACCGAGGACCGCGCAUCUGCAAGGAUGCUGGCGUAAUGGUCAUCAGCGACCCGUCUUGAAACACGGACCAAGGAGUCAAGGUUUUGCGCGAGUGUUUGGGUGUAAAACCCGCACGCGUAAUGAAAGUGAACGUAGGUGAGAGCUUCGGCGCAUCAUCGACCGAUCCUGAUGUUUUCGGAUGGAUUUGAGUAGGAGCGUUAAGCCUUGGACCCGAAAGAUGGUGAACUAUGCUUGGAUAGGGUGAAGCCAGAGGAAACUCUGGUGGAGGCUCGCAGCGGUUCUGACGUGCAAAUCGAUCGUCAAAUCUGAGCAUGGGGGCGAAAGACUAAUCGAACCAUCUAGUAGCUGGUUACCGCCGAAGU
Molecule: ribosomal RNA, 896 nt
Filed under: Subramaniula flavipila
Lineage: Eukaryota; Fungi; Ascomycota; Sordariomycetes; Sordariales; Chaetomiaceae
Description: LSU rRNA
Rfam family: Eukaryotic large subunit ribosomal RNA
Source: RNAcentral